This 171-nucleotide non-coding RNA is filed under the name Phaeocystis cordata. The record is from RNAcentral. Lineage: Eukaryota; Haptophyta; Phaeocystales; Phaeocystaceae.
CAGAGAGGAAGAAAGAGAAACACAAAAACAAAGCAAAAAAUGAAAAUCAGUGUUCCUUUCUCAAUUAUUUUUCUAGUCAUUUGAACGCUUCUGUCGGCAAUCUUCUGGUCUUUUCACUUCUCAGAGCGAAUGAGGAGGAGUUGGGAAAGUUGGGAAAAUUUGGGAAGAAAG